UUGGCAAGAGUGAGCAGGAGUAUGGCUGAAAGGUUGACGGGACAUGGUCAUCGUAUCGUUCAGAUUUUACUCUGUGUGUCGGGCAGAAUGGGGUGGAGGGAGAUAAUAUGGAAAAGACUUAAUUAGUAGUUUGUUACAGCAAGGGAAGUAAAAGAGGAUAUGGAAACUACUUAAACACUCCUUUAGUUAGCUGGUCAUUUUUGACCGGUUAACUGAAGAAAGUGUGCAUUUUAUUAAGUAUAAAUGAAGUUUGGGUG
RNAcentral lists this long non-coding RNA (257 nucleotides) under Panax ginseng (ginseng). RNAcentral describes it as "long non-coding RNA (PGIN_LNC009266)". Lineage: Eukaryota; Viridiplantae; Streptophyta; Magnoliopsida; Apiales; Araliaceae. The record is from RNAcentral.